This 301-nucleotide ribosomal RNA is filed under the name uncultured bacterium. RNAcentral describes it as "partial 16S ribosomal RNA". It matches the Rfam family "Bacterial small subunit ribosomal RNA", at positions 509 to 807 of the family's 1533-position model. The record is from RNAcentral.
CAGCAGCCGCGGGAAUACGGAGGGGGCUAGCGUUGUUCGGAAUUACUGGGCGUAAAGCGCACGUAGGCGGCUUGGUAAGUUAGAGGUGAGAGCCCGGAGCUCAACUCCGGAAUUGCCUUUAAGACUGCCGAGCUAGUAGGUGAGAGAGGUAAGUGGAAUUCCGAGUGUAGAGGUGAAAUUCGUAGAUAUUCGGAAGAACACCAGUGGCGAAGGCGGCUUACUGGUUCAUAACUGACGCUGAGGCGCGAAAGCGUGGGGAGCAAACAGGAUUAGAGACCCCGGUAGUCCCUGUCUCUUAUAC